RNAcentral lists this ribosomal RNA (523 nucleotides) under uncultured bacterium. RNAcentral describes it as "bacterial SSU rRNA". It matches the Rfam family "Bacterial small subunit ribosomal RNA", at positions 355 to 896 of the family's 1533-position model. The record is from RNAcentral.
UGGGGAAUCUUGCACAAUGGAGGAAACUCUGAUGCAGCGACGCCGCGUGAGCGAUGAAGCCCUUCGGGGUGUAAAGCUCUUUCGGCAGGAACGAUAAUGACGGUACCUGCAGAAGAAGCUGCGGCUAACUACGUGCCAGCAGCCGCGGUAAUACGUAGGCAGCAAGCGUUGUUCGGAAUUACUGGGCGUAAAGAGUGUGUAGGCGGUUCUCUAAGUUCCGUGUGAAAUCUCCCGGCUCAACUGGGAGGGUGCGCGGGAAACUGGAGGGCUCGAGUAUGGGAGAGGAAAGCGGAAUUCCUGGUGUAGCGGUGAAAUGCGUAGAUAUCAGGAGGAACACCUGCGGUGUAGACAGCUUUCUGGACCAUCACUGACGCUGAGACACGAAAGCGUGGGUAGCAAACAGGAUUAGAUACCCUGGUAGUCCACGCCCUAAACGAUGCAUACUUGGUGUGAGCCGUUCAUUCGGUUCGUGCCGGAGCUAACGCGUUAAGUAUGCCGCCUGGGGAGUACGGUCGCAGGGCUG